This 600-nucleotide ribosomal RNA is filed under the name uncultured bacterium. RNAcentral describes it as "bacterial SSU rRNA". It matches the Rfam family "Bacterial small subunit ribosomal RNA", at positions 739 to 1342 of the family's 1533-position model. The record is from RNAcentral.
ACUGACGCUGAGGCACGAAAGCGUGGGUAUCAAACAGGAUUAGAUACCCUGGUAGUCCACGCAGUAAACGAUGAAUACUGUCUGUUAACGAUAUAGUGUUAGUGGAUAAGCGAAAGUGUUAAGUAUUCCACCUGGGGAGUACGCCGGCAACGGUGAAACUCAAAGGAAUUGACGGGGGCCCGCACAAGCGGAGGAACAUGUGGUUUAAUUCGAUGAUACGCGAGGAACCUUACCCGGGCUUGAAAGUUAGUGAAGGAUGAUGAAAGUUGUCCGGCUCGCAAGAGACACGAAACUAGGUGCUGCAUGGUUGUCGUCAGCUCGUGCCGUGAGGUGUCGGCUUAAGUGCCAUAACGAGCGCAACCCCUGCUGUCAGUUGCCAUCAGGUAAUGCUGGGUACUCUGUCGGGACUGCUACUGUAAGGUAGAGGAGGGUGGGGAUGACGUCAAAUCAGCACGGCCCUUACGUCCGGGGCGACACACGUGUUACAAUGGGUGGUACAGAGGGUAGCUACUGGGCGACCAGAUGCCAAUCUCCUAAAACCAUCCUCAGUUCGGAUCGGAGUCUGCAACUCGACUCCGUGAAGCUGGAUUCGCUAGUAAU